This 441-nucleotide ribosomal RNA is filed under the name uncultured bacterium. Its description in RNAcentral is "partial 16S ribosomal RNA". It matches the Rfam family "Bacterial small subunit ribosomal RNA", at positions 338 to 795 of the family's 1533-position model. The record is from RNAcentral.
CCUACGGGUGGCAGCAGUGGGGAAUAUUGCACAAUGGGGGAAACCCUGAUGCAGCAACGCCGCGUGAGUGAAGAAGUUUUUCGGUAUGUAAAGCUCUAUCAGCAGGGAAGAAAAAAGACGGUACUUGACUAAGACGCCCCGGCUAACUACGUGCCAGCAGCCGCGGUAAUCCGUAGGGGGCAAGCGUUGUCCGGAUUUACUGGGUGGAAAGGGAGCGUAGACGGCAUAGCAAGUCUGAAGUGAAAGCCCGUGGCUCAACCGCGGAACUGCUGUGGAACCUGUUAAGCUGGAGUGCUGGAGAGGCGAGCGGAAUUCCUAGUGUAGCGGUGAAAUGCGUAGAUAUUAGGAGGAACACCAGUGGCGAAGGCGGCUUGCUGGACAGGGACUGACGUUGAGGCUCGAAAGCGUGGGGAGCAAACAGGAUUAGAUACCCUGGUAGUC